RNAcentral lists this ribosomal RNA (462 nucleotides) under uncultured bacterium. Its description in RNAcentral is "partial 16S ribosomal RNA". It matches the Rfam family "Bacterial small subunit ribosomal RNA", at positions 28 to 507 of the family's 1533-position model. The record is from RNAcentral.
GACGAACGCUGGCGGCGUGCUUAACACAUGCGAGUCGAACGGUGAACGUCUUCGGGGGGGAUCAGUGGCGAACGGGUGAGUAACACGUGGCAACCUGCCCCCGGCUCUGGGAUAACUCCAAGAAGUUGGGGCUAAUACCGGAUGCUCACCGCUUCCCGCAUGGGUGGUGGUGACAAGGGUUGCCGGCUGGGGAUGGGCCCGCGGCCUAUCAGCUUGUUGGUGGGGGAGUGGCCUACCAAGGCGACGACGGAUAGCCGGCCUGAGAGGGGGGCCGGCCACACGGGGACUGAGAGAGGGCCCAGUGUCCAAUGGGGGGCAGCGGUGGGGAGUAUUACGCAGUGGGCGGAAGCCUGAGGCGGAGGCGCCGCGUGGGGGAUGACGGCCUUGGGGUUGGAAACCUCUGUCAGCAGGGACGAAGCGCAAGUGACGGUACCUGCAGAAGAAGCACCGGCCAACUACGUG